Triplophysa dalaica is the source of this 2540-nucleotide long non-coding RNA. RefSeq lists it as uncharacterized. The transcript is spliced from 3 exons. The record is from RefSeq and is a predicted model, not a curated record. Lineage: Eukaryota; Metazoa; Chordata; Actinopteri; Cypriniformes; Nemacheilidae.
UGUUUAGUGAGGUGGAUGGACUUCAAAGUUGCUUAUUUAAAAGUUGACAACGUGUUGACAAACAUUCACAACAAACGGUGUUAAAUCCCCUAGAGAAUGUGUGUCCCAUUCGGGAAGGAAUUCGAUGGGAUGCAUCAGGAGGAGGUCUCUUUAAGUUUCCAUUGAGGGAGGCUGCACUGUCACAUGAUGAACGUGAUAUAAUGAAACAGCGAACAGAAAAGCUACGCGUGUGUCCAUGACUACAAAAUAAGACCUUUAAGCGACGCAGCCGUCCAGUAAACGCCCCAUUUCGCGCAUCAGAGUUCGAGCUAUUGGAGCAGCACUACGGGUCUCGUUGCGCGCACCGGAUUGCACCUGCUGCCGCGCAGCAUACGCACUUCUUAUUGAUACACGCGAAGAUUUCAAGAGAGCGCACACAAAUACCUGUGUGCGUGAAGUAAUGUACGACUUAUUUAUGUGAUGAAUAUCACACUGUAAUCGCAAACUCAUCGCGCGCAGGAGAGCUGCUAUAAUGCGCUCUAAAGGAUCGAGACGAACAACAGCUCUUAAUACCAUCGUCAUCAUCAUCAUUACGCAAGAUAAAGCGGAACAGGCGCUUUGACGAUGAAGCAAAACUUCGCAGAACGCAAGAGCCGGCUGGAUGUCUCUGAGAAACACACUCCAAACAUCCAAAGCCUUCCCAUUAACCCACAACCGUUUAUAAUAUUCAAACAACUAAAUGCCCCUUUGUGUUCGAGCAAAACACUAGACCGCUGGUCCUUGUAGUUUAAAAGCCUUUAUUGAAACCCGGCUUUGUGAGAGAACCUUCCUCUCUUCUCAGGGCUUCUCAGUUUGGCAGGGAGAGUACAGAGAUGGCCGAUAUUUGUGCCCCGAGUUCCUGGUUCCCAACGUGUUGAAUGGGAGAGGAAUGCGCCCGGGCAAGCAAAGCUGGCAUGGACCCUGCCCGAGCUCUCCGCUGCCUAAUGUGAACUCAUAUCUCACUCAGGGUGCCGUGGACAAAGAGCAACUCUCCACAGGCGCAGUGUUUCGCCCCUACUAAAAACCCAUCCAUCUACCAGGACGGGGUCUGAGCGUGUUUGUGUGAGAGAGAGUUGGAGAGUCGCUGUGGUUUGGCUUUCAAAGUGACCAGCAUAAAGAGGAUACAUUUUCACAGAGUACUGACCCAAGCAUGACUUGGCAGCGGUUGACGAAAAUGCUCCCCGCCCAGAGCACAAGAUGUUUCUUAUGCAGAAAGCAUUGCAGAAGAAGCCGCUCCGUUGAUGUGAACUUUGACAGGAGAUUUUAAACGUUACAUGCUAAUAUAUGCGAUCACAUUUAUUUAUAGUUGUGUCAAGAAACCCAUGCCUCUGUCCGCCCAGAACUGUUCUUAUUUCUUACUCUGGAGUUUCCGUCAAUGAAGAAAACAAUGUGAGUAAGAAAUCCCGAGUUACAAGACUUCCUUUAACCAGUCAGUCAUGUAAUGAUGGUAAUGAGUCAUUUUGCACCGGACUGUUUUCUUCUGUUGUUUGGUCAAUUCCGAAAAUAUUGCUGCUGCUACAGGCGGUCCCUUUACAGGAGUUUUUCGUUGGUGAUUAAAAAUAAUUGUUGUAAAAACUUGCUCGGUGGUACAGCAUCUAAUAAAAGUACCAAUGCCAAGUGUUUGUUUAAGAAUCAAGAGCUGUUUGGGGCAAGAAAAAUUAAAUUCAAUAUUUUUCUUUCAACCCUUUCACACAAUCCUUAAGGAUGCUUUUACUCAUCUUGCAGUCCCAAAAAGAAAACACUUUUCCUUCUCAUUACAUCUGGCACUUAUAUGUCGUUCAGAUGUCUUUCCGUAAAUUGUACAAAAAUGUCUUCAGUCAGGCUAAACAGGCAUACAAUAUGCUGACUCAUGCUCUGAGCUAACAGCGAGAGAAGAGAUGCAGGCAAUUGCAUUACAGAGCUGGUCAACAAACGCAAUAGCCAAAGAUGCAUAAGCUCAGCAUGGUUUAUUUUAUUCAUUUGAAUGUGACCGAGUCGCUUAACACAGGUGUACAUAUCUGCUUGUUUAAUUUGUAUAUAUGAUUUAUGCAGAGGCGUAAUAAAUGUGAACAUUUCCUUUAACAAACAGCGAAAGCAGGACAUAUGAGAGGACAUACGCCCACAUGCCCGCACUCACAAAUAUGGCCAGAUAGUGCUUUAACCUUUCUUCCUUUUCCAUUUCUGUACUCACUAACAACAAAAUUCCCAAAUAUAUACUUCGAAGAAUGAACCCAAAUGAUAUCCACUGACCAGAAUGUCAUUAAGACGUAAGGGUCUGUAUAGUGCAUGUACUGUAUCUGUAUAUAUAGUUUCUCUUAAUCACAAAUAACUUUUACUUUGGUUCACAUUGUAUUAAUAAAUCUUAAUCAAAAUCAAAUGUUUGCAUAGCUUUAGACUUUUUAUUUGGUUCCAUAUCUGAAAUAAAACAAAGCACAAUAACUCCGCUUUGUCAUUACAUCUGUUUGCGAAUGCAUGUUUAAUAACUGGUAAAGUGUGAUUUUUUUAAAAGUGUUAAGAUGUUGCAUAAUUAAAAAUUACACACA